AGAGAGAGACAUGCGCGCAUAUCAAUAAGCGGAGGAAAAGAAACUAACAAGGAUUCCCCUAGUAACGGCGAGUGAAGCGGGAAGAGCUCAAAUUUGAAAUCUUAAAGGGUUUCCCUUUACGAAUUGUAGUUUAAAGAAGUGUUUUCUGUUGAGGUUUUGGUAAAAGUUCUUUGGAAUAGGACAUCAUAGAGGGUGAGAAUCCCGUAUUUGACCUUUACUUUCAACUUUGUGAUACACUUUCAAAGAGUCGGAUUGUUUGGGAAUGCAGUCCAAAAUGGGUGGUAAAUUUCAUCUAAAGCUAAAUAUUGGCGAGAGACCGAUAGCGAACAAGUACCGUGAGGGAAAGAUGAAAAGAACUUUGAAAAGAGAGUUAAACAGUACGUGAAAUUGUCAAAAGGGAAGCGUUUGACACCAGUGUUGUUUUUCUGAAAAUCAAUUAAAGAACUGUUUAUGCUAAGCUGUUUAGACUUUAUCAGCUAAUCUGUUUAGUUUUGAGCUUUUCUUUAAUGCACUUUUCAGUUAACAAGUCAACAUCAAUUUCUUUUGCUGUAAAAAAGCUUGAGGAAGGUGGCUUGAGAUUCGUCUUAAGUGUUUAUAGCCUCUUGCCUAUGCAGUCGGAGAGAUUGAGGUCUGCAGCGUAGAUCCUUCGGGGCUAAAUGCAUUUGUGCUAAGUUAUAGCAUUUUAUAGACAACUUGUUGACUAUGAUCUAGUCAUGUAGCUUACUCGCUUAUGCUAUUUUACCUACGCUUAGGAUGUUGAGCGCAUGUCUCUCUCU
RNAcentral lists this ribosomal RNA (776 nucleotides) under uncultured Neocallimastigales. RNAcentral's name for it is "partial large subunit ribosomal RNA". It matches the Rfam family "Eukaryotic large subunit ribosomal RNA", at positions 23 to 616 of the family's 3401-position model. The record is from RNAcentral. Lineage: Eukaryota; Fungi; Neocallimastigomycota; Neocallimastigomycetes; Neocallimastigales.